AAAUUGAAGAGUUUGAUCAUGGCUCAGAUUGAACGCUGGCGGCAGGCCUAACACAUGCAAGUCGAGCGGUAGCACAGAGAGCUUGCUCUCGGGUGACGAGCGGCGGACGGGUGAGUAAUGUCUGGGAAACUGCCUGAUGGAGGGGGAUAACUACUGGAAACGGUAGCUAAUACCGCAUAACGUCGCAAGACCAAAGUGGGGGACCUUCGGGCCUCAUGCCAUCAGAUGUGCCCAGAUGGGAUUAGCUAGUAGGUGGGGUAAUGGCUCACCUAGGCGACGAUCCCUAGCUGGUCUGAGAGGAUGACCAGCCACACUGGAACUGAGACACGGUCCAGACUCCUACGGGAGGCAGCAGUGGGGAAUAUUGCACAAUGGGCGCAAGCCUGAUGCAGCCAUGCCGCGUGUGUGAAGAAGGCCUUCGGGUUGUAAAGCACUUUCAGCGGGGAGGAAGGCGUUAAGGUUAAUAACCUUGGCGAUUGACGUUACCCGCAGAAGAAGCACCGGCUAACUCCGAGCCAGCAGCCGCGGUAAUACGGAGGGUGCAAGCGUUAAUCGGAAUUACUGGGCGUAAAGCGCACGCAGGCGGUCUGUCAAGUCGGAUGUGAAAUCCCCGGGCUCAACCUGGGAACUGCAUUCGAAACUGGCAGGCUAGAGUCUUGUAGAGGGGGGUAGAAUUCCAGGUGUAGCGGUGAAAUGCGUAGAGAUCUGGAGGAAUACCGGUGGCGAAGGCGGCCCCCUGGACAAAGACUGACGCUCAGGUGCGAAAGCGUGGGGAGCAAACAGGAUUAGAUACCCUGGUAGUCCACGCCGUAAACGAUGUCGAUUUGGAGGUUGUGCCCUUGAGGCGUGGCUUCCGGAGCUAACGCGUUAAAUCGACCGCCUGGGGAGUACGGCCGCAAGGUUAAAACUCAAAUGAAUUGACGGGGGCCCGCACAAGCGGUGGAGCAUGUGGUUUAAUUCGAUGCAACGCGAAGAACCUUACCUGGUCUUGACAUCCACAGAACUUAGCAGAGAUGCUUUGGUGCCUUCGGGAACUGUGAGACAGGUGCUGCAUGGCUGUCGUCAGCUCGUGUUGUGAAAUGUUGGGUUAAGUCCCGCAACGAGCGCAACCCUUAUCCUUUGUUGCCAGCGGUCCGGCCGGGAACUCAAAGGAGACUGCCAGUGAUAAACUGGAGGAAGGUGGGGAUGACGUCAAGUCAUCAUGGCCCUUACGACCAGGGCUACACACGUGCUACAAUGGCAUAUACAAAGAGAAGCGACCUCGCGAGAGCAAGCGGACCUCAUAAAGUAUGUCGUAGUCCGGAUUGGAGUCUGCAACUCGACUCCAUGAAGUCGGAAUCGCUAGUAAUCGUAGAUCAGAAUGCUACGGUGAAUACGUUCCCGGGCCUUGUACACACCGCCCGUCACACCAUGGGAGUGGGUUGCAAAAGAAGUAGGUAGCUUAACCUUCGGGAGGGCGCUUACCACUUUGUGAUUCAUGACUGGGGUGAAGUCGUAACAAGGUAACCGUAGGGGAACCUGCGGUUGGAUCACCUCCUUA
Molecule: ribosomal RNA, 1540 nt
Filed under: Klebsiella pneumoniae
Lineage: Bacteria; Pseudomonadati; Pseudomonadota; Gammaproteobacteria; Enterobacterales; Enterobacteriaceae
Description: bacterial SSU rRNA
Rfam family: Bacterial small subunit ribosomal RNA
Source: RNAcentral